AGUGGCGGACGGGUGAGUAACACGUGAGCAAUCUGCCUUUCAGAGGGGGAUACCGAUUGGAAACGAUCGUUAAUACCGCAUAACAUAAUUGAACCGCAUGAUUUGAUUAUCAAAGAUUUAUCGCUGAAAGAUGAGCUCGCGUCUGAUUAGCUAGUUGGUAAGGUAACGGCUUACCAAGGCGACGAUCAGUAGCCGGACUGAGAGGUUGAUCGGCCACAUUGGGACUGAGACACGGCCCAGACUCCUACGGGAGGCAGCAGUGGGGAAUAUUGCACAAUGGAGGAAACUCUGAUGCAGCGAUGCCGCGUGAGGGAAGAAGGUUUUAGGAUUGUAAACCUCUGUCUUCAGGGACGAAAAAAGACGGUACCUGAGGAGGAAGCUCCGGCUAACUACGUGCCAGCAGCCGCGGUAAUACGUAGGGAGCGAGCGUUGUCCGGAAUUACUGGGUGUAAAGGGAGCGUAGGCGGGAUCGCAAGUCAGAUGUGAAAACUAUGGGCUUAACCCAUAAACUGCAUUUGAAACUGUGGUUCUUGAGUGAAGUAGAGGUAAGCGGAAUUCCUAGUGUAGCGGUGAAAUGCGUAGAUAUUAGGAGGAACAUCAGUGGCGAAGGCGGCUUACUGGGCUUUAACUGACGCUGAGGCUCGAAAGCGUGGGGAGCAAACAGGAUUAGAUACCCUGGUAGUCCACACCGUAAACGAUGAUUACUAGGUGUGGGGGGACUGACCCCUUCCGUGCCGCAGCAAACGCAAUAAGUAAUCCACCUGGGGAGUACGACCGCAAGGUUGAAACUCAAAGGAAUUGACGGGGGCCCGCACAAGCAGUGGAGUAUGUGGAUUAAUUCGAAGCAACGCGAAGAACCUUACCAGGUCUUGACAUCGUAUGCAUAGCUCAGAGAUGAGUGAAAUCUCUUCGGAGACAUAUAGACAGGUGGUGCAUGGUUGUCGUCAGCUCGUGUCGUGAGAUGUUGGGUUAAGUCCCGCAACGAGCGCAACCCUUACUGUUAGUUGCUACGCAAGAGCACUCUAGCAGGACUGCCGUUGACAAAACGGAGGAAGGUGGGGAUGACGUCAAAUCAUCAUGCCCCUUAUGACCUGGGCCUCACACGUACUACAAUGGCUGUCAACAGAGGGAAGCAAAGCCGCGAGGUGGAGCGAACCCCUAAAAGCAGUCUUAGUUCGGAUUGUAGGCUGCAACCCGCCUACAUGAAGUCGGAAUUGCUAGUAAUCGCAGAUCAGCAUGCUGCGGUGAAUACGUUCCCGGGCCUUGUACACACCGCCCGUCACGCCAUGGGAGUCGGUAACACCCGAAG
RNAcentral lists this ribosomal RNA (1309 nucleotides) under uncultured bacterium. Its description in RNAcentral is "bacterial SSU rRNA". It matches the Rfam family "Bacterial small subunit ribosomal RNA", at positions 94 to 1426 of the family's 1533-position model. The record is from RNAcentral.